CAGUCGCCGCGGUAAUACGUAGGGUGCGAGCGUUAAUCGGAAUUACUGGGCGUAAAGCGAGCGCAGGCGGUUAGAUAAGUCUGAAGUUAAAGGCCGUGGCUUAACCAUAGUACGCUUUGGAAACUGUUUAACUUGAGUGCAAGAGGGGAGAGUGGAAUUCCGUGUGUAGCGGUGAAAUGCGUAGAUAUAUGGAGGAACGCCGGUGGCGAAAGCGGCUCUCUGGCUUGUAACUGACGCUGAGGCUCGAAAGCGUGGGGAGCAAACAGGAUUAGAUACCCGCGUAGUCCCUGUCUCUUAUACA
RNAcentral lists this ribosomal RNA (301 nucleotides) under uncultured bacterium. RNAcentral describes it as "partial 16S ribosomal RNA". It matches the Rfam family "Bacterial small subunit ribosomal RNA", at positions 509 to 808 of the family's 1533-position model. The record is from RNAcentral.